CAUGAAUGGAGAACCGAAUUAAACCCGAUUUCAACACUGAAAAGGGCACGCAGCUUUUACAGACUAUGAAGCGGGACGAUCACUUUGCGAGCCCAAGCAUCCAUCUCUAGACAUCAGGGCAGGAGCUUAAUGAAAUACGACCCAUGGUCUUAUGCUUUUGAAAGAAGAAGGUAGAUGAAUGCGGUUGUGCAGAAAGCUCAUCAUCCUGAGCUGCAGGAUUACAUCCACUCAACUGUUUCAGGGCUACUGUCUUUCAUCCAAAAGGUUGACCAUUCACUUCUAUUCUUGUCCUCUAUCUGCUAAAGAUGGUCCUAAAUUUCUUGUCUGCCCAUGUGCCAUUUAGAAUUGAUACCAAGUCCUUUUAUCAAAGGCAACCUUGAACGGUGCAUUAUUUCUUUCACAUGGCUACUUCUUGCUUGGCUUUAGGAAAAGUGAGCGUUGCUUCUGAUUGGCACCAGUGAAGGAAACUAUUGGGUUCUGUAGUUGUAAGUAUAAGACGUAAAGAUUAAAUUUGGCUCAGUUCUUUACGAGUUUAUCUUGGUAUAACAUGUUACAAAUGCAGUUAACUAUGAGAUCCCACCUAAGUUAGAGA
Cucurbita moschata (crookneck pumpkin) is the source of this 592-nucleotide long non-coding RNA. RefSeq lists it as uncharacterized. The transcript is spliced from 2 exons. NCBI's taxonomy places the organism in Eukaryota, Viridiplantae, Streptophyta, Magnoliopsida, Cucurbitales, Cucurbitaceae. The record is from RefSeq and is a predicted model, not a curated record.